ACGCUGGCGGCGUGCCUAAUACAUGCAAGUAGAACGCUGAAGGAGGAGCUUGCUUCUCUGGAUGAGUUGCGAACGGGUGAGUAACGCGUAGGUAACCUGCCUGGUAGCGGGGGAUAACUAUUGGAAACGAUAGCUAAUACCGCAUAACAGUAGAUGUUGCAUGACAUUUGCUUAAAAGGUGCAAUUGCAUCACUACCAGAUGGACCUGCGUUGUAUUAGCUAGUUGGUGGGGUAACGGCUCACCAAGGCGACGAUACAUAGCCGACCUGAGAGGGUGAUCGGCCACACUGGGACUGAGACACGGCCCAGACUCCUACGGGAGGCAGCAGUAGGGAAUCUUCGGCAAUGGACGGAAGUCUGACCGAGCAACGCCGCGUGAGUGAAGAAGGUUUUCGGAUCGUAAAGCUCUGUUGUAAGAGAAGAACAGGUGCGAGAGUGGAAAGUUCACACUGUGACGGUAUCUCACCAGAAAGGGACGGCUAACUACGUGCCAGCAGCCGCGGUAAUACGUAGGUCCCGAGCGUUGUCCGGAUUUAUUGGGCGUAAAGCGAGCGCAGGCGGUUAGAUAAGUCUGAAGUUAAAGGCUGUGGCUUAACCAUAGUACGCUUUGGAAACUGUUUAACUUGAGUGCAAGAGGGGAGAGUGGAAUUCCAUGUGUAGCGGUGAAAUGCGUAGAUAUAUGGAGGAACACCGGUGGCGAAAGCGGCUCUCUGGCUUGUAACUGACGCUGAGGCUCGAAAGCGUGGGGAGCAAACAGGAUUAGAUACCCCUGGUAGUCCACGCCGUAAACGAUGAGUGCUAGGUGUUAGACCCUUUCCGGGGUUUAGUGCCGCAGCUAACGCAUUAAGCACUCCGCCUGGGGAGUACGACCGCAAGGUUGAAACUCAAAGGAAUUGAC
RNAcentral lists this ribosomal RNA (898 nucleotides) under uncultured bacterium. Its description in RNAcentral is "bacterial SSU rRNA". It matches the Rfam family "Bacterial small subunit ribosomal RNA", at positions 33 to 914 of the family's 1533-position model. The record is from RNAcentral.